GACGUAGGGGGCAAGCGUUGUUCGGAAUUAUUGGGCGUAAAGCGCUCGUAGGCGGGACAGGAAGUUCGUGUUGAAAGACCUCGGCUCAACUGAGGGACCGGCUCGAAUACUCUUGUUCUUGAGGCAAUCAGAGGGUGAUGGAAUUCCCGGUGUAGCGGUGAAAUGCGUGGAUAUCGGGAGGAACACCAGUGGCGAAGGCGAUCACCUGGGGUUGUUCUGACGCUGAGGAGCGAAAGCUAGGGGAGCAAACGGG
RNAcentral lists this ribosomal RNA (253 nucleotides) under uncultured bacterium. Its description in RNAcentral is "partial 16S ribosomal RNA". It matches the Rfam family "Bacterial small subunit ribosomal RNA", at positions 524 to 776 of the family's 1533-position model. The record is from RNAcentral.